Molecule: unclassified non-coding RNA, 272 nt
Filed under: uncultured Dothideomycetes
Lineage: Eukaryota; Fungi; Ascomycota; Dothideomycetes
Description: sequence contains ITS1
Rfam family: 5.8S ribosomal RNA (bases 1-105)
Source: RNAcentral
GAAAUGCGAUAAGUAGUGUGAAUUGCAGAAUUCAGUGAAUCAUCGAAUCUUUGAACGCACAUUGCGCCCUUUGGUAUUCCAAAGGGCAUGCCUGUUCGAGCGUCAUUUGUACCCUCAAGCUUUGCUUGGUGUUGGGCGUCUUGUCUCUAGCUUUGCUGGAGACUCGCCUUAAAGUAAUUGGCAGCCGGCCUACUGGUUUCGGAGCGCAGCACAAGUCGCGCUCUCUUCCAGCCAAGGUCAGCGUCCAGCAAGCCUUUGCUGAUAGAGAGUGC